AUGAACGCUGGCGGCGUGCUUAACACAUGCAGGUCGAACGGAAAGGCUCCUGCUUGCAGGGGUACUCGAGUGGCGAACGGGUGAGUAACACGUGGGUGAUCUGCCCUGCACUUCGGGAUAAGCCUGGGAAACUGGGUCUAAUACCGGAUAGGACGAUGGUUUGGAUGCCAUUGUGGAAAGUUUUUCGGUGUGGGAUGAGCUCGCGGCCUAUCAGCUCGUUGGUGGGGUAAUGGCCUACCAAGGCGUCGACGGGUAGCCGGCCUGAGAGGGUGUACGGCCACAUUGGGACUGAGAUACGGCCCAGACUCCUACGGGAGGCAGCAGUGGGGAAUAUUGCACAAUGGGCGCAAGCCUGAUGCAGCGACGCCGCGUGGGGGAUGACGGCCUUCGGGUUGUAAACUCCUUUCGCUAGGGACGAAGCGCAAGUGACGGUACCUGGAGAAGAAGCACCGGCUAACUACGUG
This 464-nucleotide ribosomal RNA is filed under the name uncultured bacterium. RNAcentral describes it as "partial 16S ribosomal RNA". It matches the Rfam family "Bacterial small subunit ribosomal RNA", at positions 29 to 507 of the family's 1533-position model. The record is from RNAcentral.